GUCACCUGGGGAUCUUGUUAAAAUGCAGAUCCUGAUUCAGUAGGGGCCUGAGACUCUGUAUUUCUAACGAGCUCCCAGGUGUUGUUCA
This 88-nucleotide microRNA precursor is filed under the name Equus asinus (donkey). RNAcentral describes it as "mir-544 microRNA precursor family". It matches the Rfam family "mir-544 microRNA precursor family". Lineage: Eukaryota; Metazoa; Chordata; Mammalia; Perissodactyla; Equidae. The record is from Rfam by way of RNAcentral. RNAcentral also lists the same sequence under 1 other name.